Molecule: ribosomal RNA, 496 nt
Filed under: uncultured bacterium
Lineage: Bacteria
Description: partial 16S ribosomal RNA
Rfam family: Bacterial small subunit ribosomal RNA
Source: RNAcentral
GACGAACGCUGGCGGCGUGCCUAAUACAUGCAAGUCGAGCGAUGAAGCUUGGUGCUUGCACCAAUUUGAAGAGCAGCGAACGGGUGAGUAACGCGUGGGGAAUCUGCCUUUGAGCGGGGACAACAUUUGGAAACGAAUGCUAAUACCGCAUAACAACUUUAAACAUAAGUUUUAAGUUUGAAAGAUGCAAUUGCAUCACUCAAAGAUGAUCCCGCGUUGUAUUAGCUAGUUGGUGAGGUAAAGGCUCACCAAGGCGAUGAUACAUAGCCGACCUGAGAGGGUGAUCGGCCACAUUGGGACUGAGACACGGCCCAAACUCCUACGGGAGGCAGCAGUAGGGAAUCUUCGGCAAUGGACGAAAGUCUGACCGAGCAACGCCGCGUGAGUGAAGAAGGUUUUCGGAUCGUAAAACUCUGUUGGUAGAGAAGAACGUUGGUGAAAGUGGAAAGCUCAUCAAGUGACGGUAACUACCCAGAAAGGGACGGCUAACUACGUG